Molecule: ribosomal RNA, 761 nt
Filed under: uncultured Prevotella sp.
Lineage: Bacteria; Pseudomonadati; Bacteroidota; Bacteroidia; Bacteroidales; Prevotellaceae
Description: bacterial SSU rRNA
Rfam family: Bacterial small subunit ribosomal RNA
Source: RNAcentral
GAUGAACGCUAGCUAUAGGCUUAACACAUGCAAGUCGAGGGGAAACGGCAUUAUGUGCUUGCACAUUUUGGACGUCGACCGGCGCACGGGUGAGUAUCGCGUAUCCAACCUGCCCUUUACUUGGGGAUACCCCGUCGAAAGACGGCCUAAUACCCGAUGUAAUUCAUUGAUGGCAUCAGAUAUGAAUAAAAGAUUUAUCGGUAAAGGAUGGGGAUGCGUCUGAUUAGCUUGUUGGUGAGGUAACGGCUCACCAAGGCGACGAUCAGUAGGGGUUCUGAGAGGAAGGUCCCCCACAUUGGAACUGAGACACGGUCCAAACUCCUACGGGAGGCAGCAGUGAGGAAUAUUGGUCAAUGGACGGAAGUCUGAACCAGCCAAGUAGCGUGCAGGAAGACGGCCCUAUGGGUUGUAAACUGCUUUUAUACGAGAAUAAUUUGAUGCACGUGUGCGUUAUUGCAUGUAUCGUAUGAAUAAGGACCGGCUAAUUCCGUGCCAGCAGCCGCGGUAAUACGGAAGGUCCAGGCGUUAUCCGGAUUUAUUGGGUUUAAAGGGAGUGUAGGCGGUUUGUUAAGCGUGUUGUGAAAUUUAGGUGCUCAACAUUUAACUUGCAGCGCGAACUGUCAGACUUGAGUACACGCAACGUAUGCGGAAUUCAUGGUGUAGCGGUGAAAUGCUUAGAUAUCAUGAAGAACUCCGAUUGCGAAGGCAGCAUACGGGAGUGUAACUGACGCUUAAGCUCGAAGGUGCGGGUAUCGAACAGG